This 484-nucleotide ribosomal RNA is filed under the name uncultured bacterium. RNAcentral describes it as "partial 16S ribosomal RNA". It matches the Rfam family "Bacterial small subunit ribosomal RNA", at positions 30 to 507 of the family's 1533-position model. The record is from RNAcentral.
AUUGAACGCUGGCGGCAGGCCUAACACAUGCAAGUCGAGCGGAUGAAGGGAGCUUGCUCCUGGAUUCAGCGGCGGACGGGUGAGUAAUGCCUAGGAAUCUGCCUGGUAGUGGGGGAUAACGUCCGGAAACGGGCGCUAAUACCGCAUACGCCCUGAGGGAGAAAGUGGGGGAGCUUCGGACCUCACGCUAUCAGAUGAGCCUAGGUCGGAUUAGCUAGUUGGUGGGGUAAAGGCCUACCAAGGCGACGAUCCGUAACUGGUCUGAGAGGAUGAUCAGUCACACUGGAACUGAGACACGGUCCAGACUCCUACGGGAGGCAGCAGUGGGGAAUAUUGGACAAUGGGCGAAAGCCUGAUCCAGCCAUGCCGCGUGUGUGAAGAAGGUCUUCGGAUUGUAAAGCACUUUAAGUUGGGAAGAAGGGCAGUAAGUUAAUACCUUGCUGUUUUGACGUUACCAACAGAAUAAGCACCGGCUAACUUCGUG